This is a long non-coding RNA of Trifolium pratense (red clover), 368 nucleotides long. RefSeq lists it as uncharacterized. The transcript has 3 exons. The record is from RefSeq and is a predicted model, not a curated record. NCBI's taxonomy places the organism in Eukaryota, Viridiplantae, Streptophyta, Magnoliopsida, Fabales, Fabaceae.
CACUGCCUUAAUCAUAGUUCAUUGGGAAUAGAACAUGCAUUGGCUCAUUAUGGAAGCAAGGCUUUUGAGGGGAAAGAAAUUCUUUUCAUAGCUAGGAAGACUUCUAGAUCAGAGUAUAGGUUUGAAGAUUAUGUAGAAAUCAUAAACAUGACCGAUGAAGAGGGAUCUGUUCGUCGUUUCCAUGAGCUUGGCAAUAACUUUACUCCUACGAAGUCGAUAUAUAUUGAUCCAUUUGCCCAACUUGACGUGGAGGCGCACGAUAGUGUAUUAGUUUCAAGUGUGCAGAAAUUUAUCACUAAAGGGAAGAAGCCUUUGAUUGAUCUAGAAACUCCAUCAAAUUUUUCUUGUGUUACCACUGGAUCAUUCUC